CAUAGAUAAUCGUCAGCCUGUCUCAUGCAGUCGAGCGGUAACAGGAAUUACUUGCUAAUUCGCUGACGAGCGGCGGACGGGUGAGUAAUGCCUGGGAAUAUGCCUUAGUGUGGGGGAUAACUAUUGGAAACGAUAGCUAAUACCGCAUAAUGUCUUCGGACCAAAGAGGGGGACCUUCGGGCCUCUCGCGCUAAGAUUAGCCCAGGUGAGAUUAGCUAGUUGGUGAGGUAAGAGCUCACCAAGGCGACGAUCUCUAGCUGGUCUGAGAGGAUGAUCAGCCACACUGGAACUGAGACACGGUCCAGACUCCUACGGGAGGCAGCAGUGGGGAAUAUUGCACAAUGGGCGAAAGCCUGAUGCAGCCAUGCCGCGUGUAUGAAGAAGGCCUUCGGGUUGUAAAGUACUUUCAGUAGGGAGGAAGGUUCAUGCGUUAAUAGCGUAUGGAUUUGACGUUACCUACAGAAGAAGCACCGGCUAACUCCGUGCCAGCAGCCGCGGUAAUACGGAGGGUGCGAGCGUUAAUCGGAAUUACUGGGCGUAAAGCGCAUGCAGGUGGUUCAUUAAGUCAGAUGUGAAAGCCCGGGGCUCAACCUCGGAACCGCAUUUGAAACUGGUGAACUAGAGUGCUGUAGAGGGGGGUAGAAUUUCAGGUGUAGCGGUGAAAUG
RNAcentral lists this ribosomal RNA (666 nucleotides) under Vibrio sp. KR05-73. RNAcentral's name for it is "bacterial SSU rRNA". It matches the Rfam family "Bacterial small subunit ribosomal RNA", at positions 31 to 688 of the family's 1533-position model. Lineage: Bacteria; Pseudomonadati; Pseudomonadota; Gammaproteobacteria; Vibrionales; Vibrionaceae. The record is from RNAcentral.